RNAcentral lists this transfer RNA (66 nucleotides) under Haplosymploce aurantiaca. RNAcentral describes it as "tRNA-Tyr". It matches the Rfam family "tRNA". Rfam says of the family: Transfer RNA (tRNA) molecules are approximately 80 nucleotides in length. Their secondary structure includes four short double-helical elements and three loops (D, anti-codon, and T loops). Lineage: Eukaryota; Metazoa; Arthropoda; Insecta; Blattodea; Blattellidae. The record is from RNAcentral.
AGUAGAAUGGCUGAGGGAAAGGUGAUAGAUUGUAAAUCUAUUAAGGGGUUUAUAACCCUUCUACUA